AUUGAACGCCGGCGGCAUGCUUAACACAUGCAAGUCGAACGGUAGCAUGACCUAGCUUGCUAGGUUGAUGACGAGUGGCGAACGGGUGAGUAACGCGUAGGAACAUGCCUUAAAGAGGGGGACAACUUGGGGAAACUCAAGCUAAUACCGCAUAAUAUCCGAGGAUAAAAGCUGGGGACCUUCGGGCCUGGCGCUUUAAG
Molecule: ribosomal RNA, 200 nt
Filed under: uncultured bacterium
Lineage: Bacteria
Description: partial 16S ribosomal RNA
Rfam family: Bacterial small subunit ribosomal RNA
Source: RNAcentral